UCCGAUUUAUCAUCGGCAGUCUCGUUAGAGUGCCCAACUUAAUGCUGGCAACUAACAAUAGGGGUUGCGCUCGUUGCGGGACUUAACCCAACAUCUCACGACACGAGCUGACGACGGCCAUGCAACACCUGUACGUACCCGGCCGAACCGAAGAAAUCUGUUUCCAGAAAUCAUAAUACGUAUGUCAAGGGCAGGUAAGGUUCCUCGUGUAUCAUCGAAUUAAACAACAUGCUCCACCGCUUGUGCGGGUCCCCGUCAAUUCCUUUGAGUUUUAAUCUUGCGAUCGUAAUCCCCAGGCGGUGUGCUUAUCGCGUUAGCUUGGCCACCUAUACGUAAACGUACCGAUAGCGAGCACACAUCGUUUAGGGCGUGGACUAC
RNAcentral lists this unclassified non-coding RNA (378 nucleotides) under uncultured Rhodospirillales bacterium. RNAcentral's name for it is "contains 16S-23S intergenic spacer region". The record is from RNAcentral. Lineage: Bacteria; Pseudomonadati; Pseudomonadota; Alphaproteobacteria; Rhodospirillales.